This 786-nucleotide ribosomal RNA is filed under the name Tripyla glomerans. RNAcentral describes it as "SSU rRNA". It matches the Rfam family "Eukaryotic small subunit ribosomal RNA", at positions 98 to 892 of the family's 1831-position model. Lineage: Eukaryota; Metazoa; Nematoda; Enoplea; Triplonchida; Tripylidae. The record is from RNAcentral.
UCAUUACAACAGCCACAGUUUAUUGGGUCUCCUUUUACUUGGAUAACUGAGCUAAUUGUUGAGCUAAUACACGCACCAAAGCUUCGACCUCACGGAAGGAGCGCAUUUAUUAGAACAAAACCAAUCGGACUUCGGUCCGUCCAUUGGUGAAUCUAAAUAACUCGGCCGAUCGCAUGGUCUCGCACCGGCGACGCACCUUUCAAAUGUCUGCCUUAUCACCUUUCGAUGGUAGUUUAUACGCCUACCAUGGGUUUUACGGGUAACGGAGAAUAAGGGUUCGACUCCGGAGAGGGAGCCUGAGAAACGGCUACCACAUCCAAGGAAGGCAGCAGGCACGCAAAUUACCCACUCCCGGCACGGGGAGGUAGUGACGAAAAAUAACGAGGCGGUUCUCUUUGAGGCCCGCCAUCGGAAUGGGUACAAUCUAAAUCCUUUAACGAGGAACUAUUGGAGGGCAAGUCUGGUGCCAGCAGCCGCGGUAAUUCCAGCUCCAAUAGCGUAUAUUAAAGUUGUUGCGGUUAAAAAGCUCGUAGUUGGAUCUGCGGCCGAGGAGAGCGGUCACCCGUUGGGUUGCUACUGCUUUUCCUGGCCUAAUUCUUCGGUUUUCCCUUGAUGCUCUUCAUUGAGUGUCUUGGGUGGCCGGAACGUUUACUUUGAAAAAAUUAGAGUGCUCAAGGCAAGCUAUUAGCUUGAAUAGUGGUGCAUGGAAUAAUAAAAGAGGAUAUUGGUCCGUUUUGUUGGUAAUGGGUCUGAUAUAAUGAUAGAGGGGGGACAAUCGGGGGGCAU